UGGGGAAUCUUCCGCAAUGGACGAAAGUCUGACGGAGCAACGCCGCGUGAGUGAAGACGGCCUCCGGGUUGUAAAGCUCUGUGAUCCGGGACGAAAGAGCCUGAGGUGAAUAGCCUAAGGAAGUGACGGUACCGGAAAAGCAAGCCACGGCUAACUACGUGCCAGCAGCCGCGGUAAUACGUAGGUGGCAAGCGUUGUCCGGAAUUAUUGGGCGUAAAGCGCGCGCAGGCGGCUUCCUAAGUCCAUCUUAAAAGUGCGGGGCUUAACCCCGUGAUGGGAUGGAAACUGGGAAGCUGGAGUAUCGGAGAGGAAAGUGGAAUUCCUAGUGUAGCGGUGAAAUGCGUAGAGAUUAGGAAGAACACCGGUGGCGAAGGCGACUUUCUGGACGAAAACUGACGCUGAGGCGCGAAAGCGUGGGGAGCAAACAGG
Molecule: ribosomal RNA, 429 nt
Filed under: Fusobacteriota bacterium
Lineage: Bacteria; Fusobacteriati; Fusobacteriota
Description: Fusobacteria bacterium partial 16S ribosomal RNA
Rfam family: Bacterial small subunit ribosomal RNA
Source: RNAcentral